This 22-nucleotide ribosomal RNA is filed under the name Neofusicoccum vitifusiforme. RNAcentral describes it as "partial 18S ribosomal RNA". Lineage: Eukaryota; Fungi; Ascomycota; Dothideomycetes; Botryosphaeriales; Botryosphaeriaceae. The record is from RNAcentral.
GGUUAAUACGAGCUGAUCGAGC